RNAcentral lists this ribosomal RNA (484 nucleotides) under uncultured bacterium. Its description in RNAcentral is "partial 16S ribosomal RNA". It matches the Rfam family "Bacterial small subunit ribosomal RNA", at positions 30 to 507 of the family's 1533-position model. The record is from RNAcentral.
AUUGAACGCUGGCGGCAGGCCUAACACAUGCAAGUCGAGCGGCUGAAGGGAGCUUGCUCCUGGAUUCAGCGGCGGACGGGUGAGUAAUGCCUAGGAAUCUGCCUGGUAGUGGGGGAUAACGUCCGGAAACGGGCGCUAAUACCGCAUACGUCCUGAGGGAGAAAGUGGGGGAUCUUCGGACCUCACGCUAUCAGAUGAGACUAGGUCGGAUUAGCUAGUUGGUGGGGUAAAGGCCUACCAAGGCGACGAUCCGUAACUGGUCUGAGAGGAUGAUCAGUCACACUGGAACUGAGACACGGUCCAGACUCCUACGGGAGGCAGCAGUGGGGAAUAUUGGACAAUGGGCGAAAGCCUGAUCCAGCCAUGCCGCGUGUGUGAAGAAGGUCUUCGGAUUGUAAAGCACUUUAAGUUGGGAGGAAGGGCAGUAAGUUAAUACCUUGCUGUUUUGACGUUACCAACAGAAUAAGCACCGGCUAACUUCGUG